This 76-nucleotide transfer RNA is filed under the name Clostridia bacterium. RNAcentral describes it as "tRNA-Thr". It matches the Rfam family "tRNA". From Rfam's summary of the family: Transfer RNA (tRNA) molecules are approximately 80 nucleotides in length. Their secondary structure includes four short double-helical elements and three loops (D, anti-codon, and T loops). Lineage: Bacteria; Bacillati; Bacillota; Clostridia. The record is from RNAcentral.
GCUGCCGUGGCUCAGCUGGUAGAGCAGCUGAUUCGUAAUCAGCAGGUCAGCGGUUCAAGUCCGCUCGGCAGCUCCA